GGUGGCUCAGUGGUAGAGUACUUGCCUCUCAUGCAUGGGGCCCUGGGUUCAAUUCCUCAGCACCA
Molecule: non-coding RNA, 65 nt
Organism: Dipodomys ordii (Ord's kangaroo rat)
Lineage: Eukaryota; Metazoa; Chordata; Mammalia; Rodentia; Heteromyidae
Source: Rfam